Molecule: long non-coding RNA, 1459 nt
Filed under: Homo sapiens (human)
Lineage: Eukaryota; Metazoa; Chordata; Mammalia; Primates; Hominidae
Description: HSALNT0051841
Source: RNAcentral
CUGAGAUCCAGCGGGUACUUGUGAUCUGCACUGACUUCCUUCAUUUAAGUUUGGAACCCCUCAGUCAUCCAUGAGGAUUAAAGUCAACUUCUUCCAAACUCCUGUUAAUGUUGAUAUUUGGACCUCCUCCCAGGAAUCACACAUAUUCUUAAUGGCAUCUAGAAUGCCAAAAUUUUUCCAGAGUGUUUUCAACUUAAUUCAUCCAGGUCCAUCAAAGAAAUCACUAUCUAUGGCAGCUAUAGCUUUACAAAAUAUAUUUCUUCAAUAAUAAGACUUGAAAGUUGAAAUUACACCUCAUCUAUGGGCUACAGAAUAGAUGUUGUGUUAGCAGGCAUGAGAACUGCAUUAAUAUCCUUGCAUAUCUCCAUCAGAGCUCUUGGGUAACAAGGUAUACUGUCAAUGAAUGAGCAGUAAUAUUUUGAAAGGAAUCUUUUAUUCUGAGCACUAGGUCUCAACAGUGGGCUUAAAAUAUUCAGUAAACCAUACUGUAAACAGAUGUACUACAUCUAGGCUUUGUUGUUCCAUUUAUAGAGUACAGGCAGAAAAGAUUUAGCAUACUUCUUAAGGGCCCUAGGAUUUUUGGAAUGACAAAUGAGCAUUAGCCUCAACUUAAAGUCACCAGCUACAUUAGCUCCUAAUGAGAAUCAGUCUGUCCUUUGAAGAUUUGAAGCCAGGCACUGACUUCUCUAGCUAUGAAAUUCCUAGAUGGCAUCUUCUUCCUUAAGUUGACAAGUAAAACUUAUGAAUUGCUAAAGAUUUCUCCAGCAUUAUUGAAAUAUAGAGAAGCAGAAUAAAAGAAAAGAAAAUCUUCUAAGUAAUGCCUUCAAAACUUUUCUUGAGUUACCUAUUCAUAUUUCCUUUUAAUUAUUUUGGCAUCUUGGGUGCUAUUUCUGCUAAUCUCAAUUACUUAUCUUGAUACUAAUCAUAUCAUUCUCACUAUAAUUUAUUAAAUUAUUUUACUAUGAGCAAUAGAGUAGAUGAUGAUGUCAUUUACUAACUUAGAUAAAAGACUGAGGAGGGAAGAGGUGUACAAGAAGUAAAUGAUCAAACUGUUGGCCAUUUGGAUAUGCCAUUUGGAUAAUGGCAAGUGGCCAUUUGGAUAUCAGCCACUUGAAAAGUGCCUGAUCGUUUUCCUCAUUUUAAAAACUGAAGUAUAUGUCUUUUUCUUACUUAUUUUUAGGAGUUUUAAUACAUUCGGGAUAUUCUUUCUUUUUCAAAUAUAUGUGAUGCAAAUAUCUUCUCCCAUUCUUCAGCUUCCCUUUUUAUUCUGUUACUGCUGUCUUUUGAUGAAUAAAAGUUCCUCAUUUUAGUAAAUUUCUCUUUCCUUUAUUGUUAUUACAGUCCAUGUCCUCCUCAAGAAAUAUUUGCUAUUCCAAGGUCAUAAUGAUAUUCUGCAAUGUUUUCUUCUAGAAACUUUAUUGUUUUUUCUUUCGUUUAGGUCUGCAAUCCAUCUGGAAUU